CCCUUAGAUGUUCUGGGCCGCACGCGCGCUACACUGAUGCAUUCAACGAGCCUAGCCUUGACCGAGAGGUCCGGGUAAUCUUUGAAACUGCGUCGUGAUGGGGCUAGAUUAUUGCAAUUAUUAAUCUUCAACGAGGAAUGCCUAGUAAGCGUGAUUCAUCAAAUCGCGUUGAUUACGUCCCUGCCCUUUGUACACACCGCCCGUCGCUCCUACCGAUUGAGUGUGUUGGUGAGGAGUUUGGAUUGGCCUCGGAAGGUGGUUCGCCACCGUCCGUAGCUGAGAAGUUCUCCAAACCGCCCCACUUAGAGGAAGGAGAAGUCGUAACA
This 326-nucleotide ribosomal RNA is filed under the name uncultured eukaryote. RNAcentral's name for it is "partial 18S ribosomal RNA". It matches the Rfam family "Eukaryotic small subunit ribosomal RNA", at positions 1470 to 1796 of the family's 1831-position model. The record is from RNAcentral.